GAUGAACGCUGACAGAAUGCUUAACACAUGCAAGUCUUUGGCGAAGCUGUGCUCGCACAGCCUAGCCAAGGCGGACGGGUGAGUAACGCGUAAGGAACUUGCCCUGCAGUCAGGGAUAACAGACGGAAACGACUGAUAAGACCUGGUAAAGUCAGGCGGACUCAUAUCCAGCCUGAUGAAAAGAGAUGCUGCAGGAGAGCCUUGCGUCCUAUUAGCUUGUUGGUGGGGUAACGGCCCACCAAGGCGAUGAUAGGUAGCCGGCCUGAGAGGGUGGACGGCCACCAGGGGACCGGGAUUCCGCCCUUACUCCUACCGGAGGCAGCCGGGGGGAAUAUUGGACCAUUGGGGCCACCCUGAACCAGCCAUUCUGUUUGCACGAUGAAGGUUUUCGGAUUGUAAAGUGCUUUCAGCAAGGAAGAAAAAAAUGACGGUACCUGCAGAAGAAGCGACGGCUAAAUACGUG
RNAcentral lists this ribosomal RNA (463 nucleotides) under uncultured bacterium. RNAcentral describes it as "partial 16S ribosomal RNA". It matches the Rfam family "Bacterial small subunit ribosomal RNA", at positions 28 to 507 of the family's 1533-position model. The record is from RNAcentral.